Molecule: ribosomal RNA, 309 nt
Filed under: uncultured bacterium
Lineage: Bacteria
Description: bacterial SSU rRNA
Rfam family: Bacterial small subunit ribosomal RNA
Source: RNAcentral
CGAUUAGGGAAUAUUGGUCAAUGGGUGAGAGCCUGAACCAGCCAUGCCGCGUGCAGGAAGAAGGCCUUCUGGGUUGUAAACUGCUUUCGCCAGGGGAUAAAAAUACCUUGCGAGGUAAAUUGAAGGUACCUGGUGAAUAAGCCACGGCUAACUACGUGCCAGCAGCCGCGGUAAUACGUAGGUGGCAAGCGUUGUCCGGAUUUAUUGGGUUUAAAGGGUGCGUAGGCGGCCCUGUAAGUCAGUGCUGAAAUAUCCCAGCUUAACUGGGAGGGUGGCAUUGAUACUGCGGGGCUAGAGUACAGAUGAGGU